RNAcentral lists this ribosomal RNA (471 nucleotides) under uncultured bacterium. RNAcentral describes it as "bacterial SSU rRNA". It matches the Rfam family "Bacterial small subunit ribosomal RNA", at positions 355 to 825 of the family's 1533-position model. The record is from RNAcentral.
UGGGGAAUAUUGGACAAUGGGCGGAAGCCUGAUCCAGCAAUACCGCGUGUGUGAAGAAGGCCUUAGGGUUGUAAAGCACUUUCAAUAGGGAGGAAAAAGGUAAGCUUAAUACGUUUGCCCUUGACAUUACCUAUACAAGAAGCACCGGCUAACUCCGUGCCAGCAGCCGCGGUAAUACGGAGGGUGCAAGCGUUAAUCGGAAUUACUGGGCGUAAAGCGUGCGUAGGCGGCCUGUUAAGUCAGAUGUGAAAGCCCCGGGCUCAACCUGGGAACUGCAUUUGAAACUGGCAAGCUAGAGUUGGGUAGAGGGGAGUGGAAUUUCAGGUGUAGCGGUGAAAUGCGUAGAUAUCUGAAGGAACACCAGUGGCGAAGGCGACUCCCUGGACUCAAACUGACGCUGAGGCACGAAAGCGUGGGUAGCAAACAGGAUUAGAUACCCAUGUAGUCCCUGAGCGGGCUGGCAAGGCGCAU